CACGCCGUAAACGAUGGGUGCUAGGUGUCGCGGGCUUUGACCCCUGCGGUGCCGUAGCUAACGCAUUAAGCACCCCGCCUGGGGAGUACGGCCGCAAGGCUAAAACUCAAAGGAAUUGACGGGGGCCCGCACAAGCGGUGGAGCAUGUGGUUCAAUUCGACGCAACGCGCAGAACCUUACCUGGGCUAGAAAAUGCAAGAACCUGGUUGAAAAAUCGGGGUGCUCUUCGGAGAGCUUGUAGUUAGGUGC
This 249-nucleotide ribosomal RNA is filed under the name uncultured bacterium. RNAcentral describes it as "partial 16S ribosomal RNA". It matches the Rfam family "Bacterial small subunit ribosomal RNA", at positions 796 to 1041 of the family's 1533-position model. The record is from RNAcentral. RNAcentral also lists the same sequence under 1 other name.